GGCAGGCAUAUCCUCGCCGGUGCUCUCCGGAGCUUGAUAGGGAAUCCCGUGUAAACCGGGAACGGGCCCGCCGCUGUAACCCCUCCCCGCCCUGCGGGGAACCGUGUCGGCCAUCGCGUGUCACUGUCCCCCAGGGGACGGGAAGACCGCCGGCACGGCGGGGGAGUCAGAAGACCUGCCUGCGAGGACUUGAACGC
Molecule: non-coding RNA, 197 nt
Filed under: Desulfobulbaceae bacterium
Lineage: Bacteria; Pseudomonadati; Thermodesulfobacteriota; Desulfobulbia; Desulfobulbales; Desulfobulbaceae
Source: RNAcentral